GAUCAACGCUGGCGGCGUGCAUAACACAUGCAAGUCGAACGAUGAAACUUAACUGAUUUCUUCGGAAUGAUUUUAAGUGGAUUAGUGGCGGACGGGUGAGUAACGCGUGAGUAACCUGCCUUGCACAAGGGGAUAGCCGUUGGAAACGACGAAUAAUACCCUAUGAUAUAAACUCUUCGCAUGAAGAGCUUAUCAAAGAUUUAUCGGUGUAAGAUGGACUCGCGUCUGAUUAGCUAGUUGGUGGGGUAACAGCCUACCAAGGCAACGAUCAGUAGCCGGCUUGAGAGAGUGUACGGCCACAUUGGGACUGAGACACGGCCCAGACUCCUACGGGAGGCAGCAGUGGGGAAUUGUGCACAAUGGGGGCAACCCUGAUGCAGCGACGCCGCGUGAUUUAGAAGGCCUUCGGGUUGUAAAAAUCUUUUGUAUGGGAAGAAAAUGACAGUACCAUACGAAUAAGGACCGGCUAAUUACGUG
Molecule: ribosomal RNA, 477 nt
Filed under: uncultured bacterium
Lineage: Bacteria
Description: partial 16S ribosomal RNA
Rfam family: Bacterial small subunit ribosomal RNA
Source: RNAcentral